UGGGGAAUAUUGCACAAUGGAGGGAACUCUGAUGCAGCGACGCCGCGUGAACGAAGAAGGCUUUCGAGUCGUAAAGUUCUUUUAUAUGGGAAGAUAAUGACGGUACCAUAAGAAAAAGCCCCGGCUAACUACGUGCCAGCAGCCGCGGUAAUACGUAGGGGGCUAGCGUUGUCCGGAAUCACUGGGCGUAAAGGGUUCGCAGGCGGAAAUGCAAGUCAGGUGUAAAAGGCAGUAGCUUAACUACUGUAAGCAUUUGAAACUGCAUAUCUUGAGAAGAGUAGAGGUAAGUAGAAUUUUUAGUGUAGCAGUGAAAUGCGUAGAUAUUAAAAAGAAUACCGGUGGCGAAGGCGACUUACUGGGCUCAUUCUGACGCUGAGGAACGAAAGCGUGGGUAGCAAACAGG
Molecule: ribosomal RNA, 403 nt
Filed under: bacterium
Lineage: Bacteria
Description: partial 16S ribosomal RNA
Rfam family: Bacterial small subunit ribosomal RNA
Source: RNAcentral